CGGGACCAUGACCUGAGCCGAAGGCAGACGCUUAACCAACUGAGCCACCCAGGUGCCCCUGCAUUCGUGUUUUUCUACUUCAAGGUUUCCUAAGCAGUCAAAUGUUAGCAGAGAUUCCAGAGGCCAUGUGUUUAGAAGCUGCUGCGACUCUCAGCACAGCCCGAGUUUUCACUCACUGCCUAUUCAGCAAGGAAACAAAAAGGCGGGGAAAGACCCUCACGCCUGGCGUCGUGCCAACACAGCAAACAAGAAUGUGGGGCUUGGAAGGCAAGCUGACAACGGUCUGAAUGCAGCCUCCACUCUGCUUACCAAACACAGGCAAUGCAUGACAGCGCUCUGAGCCAACUUCCUCGUAUCUUUCAAACAGCGAUAAUUCUGUCCAAAGCGUACUUCUGUCUAGCACAUGGAUCCUCUGUAGGACACUACACUACAUUCCCUCCAUUUGUCUGCAGUACGGCAGUUUUCCUCGUCUUUCAUCACCUUGACACUUCUGAAGAGCUCUACGUCGUUAUUUUGUAGAAUGUCCUUGAAUUUGCACUGCCUGCUGGUUCCUCAUGACUGAAGUAAUGCUGCGCAUUUUUGGCAUGAAUACGACAAGAAUGAUGUCCACACAGUGUCAUACCAAGAGGUUCAUGAUGUUGAUAUUAACAUGUCUUGUUACUGGUGAUGUUUACUUUGGUUAAGUUCCUGUCUGCCAAAUUCCUACACUAGAAAGAUAACUUUCUUUUCCUUUGCUAAAUAUUUAGGGGAAGAUACUUUGAAACCAUGCAAAUCUUGUUUCUCCUCACUUUCUCACCCGGGGUUUUUAGCAUUCAAAAGAUUUUGUGUGCAACACUAAUUACUGUGGAAUAUGCCUAAGGGCAAUUCUCUAUUUCCCUCCUUCUACAUUUAUUCACUGGUAUUAUGAGGAAGACCUAUCCCUCUCCUCCCAUUUAUUUGAUCAUUUAUAUUAAUAUGAACUCGUAUUUAUUUCAUUCUGUAGGUUAAAAUCUAAUACUAUCAUUAUUCUAUUGAUCAAACUGUUCUACCUGUGGCUGUUAGGUGCUCCUUUGAGUUGGCUCCUGUCUUUCAACAAACCCUCAACCUUUUUUUGAGCAUUUCUUUACUUUCUAGCACCGCGAGAGCUCCAGGCUCACCUUGCACUUCCUUGUCUCAGUCCUGAAAUCAACUACUAAGAGCCUCAAUGAGAUAGCUGUUUAUUUUUUUUUAAA
Callorhinus ursinus (northern fur seal) is the source of this 1211-nucleotide long non-coding RNA. RefSeq lists it as uncharacterized. NCBI's taxonomy places the organism in Eukaryota, Metazoa, Chordata, Mammalia, Carnivora, Otariidae. The record is from RefSeq and is a predicted model, not a curated record.